RNAcentral lists this ribosomal RNA (424 nucleotides) under uncultured Burkholderiales bacterium. Its description in RNAcentral is "bacterial SSU rRNA". It matches the Rfam family "Bacterial small subunit ribosomal RNA", at positions 973 to 1401 of the family's 1533-position model. The record is from RNAcentral. Lineage: Bacteria; Pseudomonadati; Pseudomonadota; Betaproteobacteria; Burkholderiales.
ACCCACCUUUGACAUGUACGGAAGUUACCAGAGAUGGUUUCGUGCUCGAAAGAGAACCGUAACACAGGUGCUGCAUGGCUGUCGUCAGCUCGUGUCGUGAGAUGUUGGGUUAAGUCCCGCAACGAGCGCAACCCUUGUCAUUAGUUGCUACGAAAGGGCACUCUAAUGAGACUGCCGGUGAUAAACCGGAGGAAGGUGGGGAUGACGUCAAGUCCUCAUGGCCCUUAUAGGUGGGGCUACACACGUCAUACAAUGGCUGGUACAGAGGGUUGCCAACCCGCGAGGGGGAGCUAAUCCCAUAAAACCAGUCGUAGUCCGGAUCGCAGUCUGCAACUCGACUGCGUGAAGUCGGAAUCGCUAGUAAUCGCGGAUCAGAAUGUCGCGGUGAAUACGUUCCCGGGUCUUGUACACACCGCCCGUCACA